RNAcentral lists this ribosomal RNA (372 nucleotides) under uncultured bacterium. Its description in RNAcentral is "bacterial SSU rRNA". It matches the Rfam family "Bacterial small subunit ribosomal RNA", at positions 525 to 896 of the family's 1533-position model. The record is from RNAcentral.
ACAGAGAGUGCAAACGUUGUUCGGAAUUACUGGGCUUAAAGCGCACGUAGGCGGCGUCGUAAGUGUCGGGUGAAAUCCCACGGCUCACCCGUGGAACUGCCCGGCAGACUGCGAUGCUAGAGUGUGGUAGGGGAGAGCGGAACUCCUGGUGGAGCGGUGAAAUGCGUAGAUAUCAGGAGGAACACCGGUGGCGAAGGCGGCUCUCUGGUCCACAACUGACGCUGAGGUGCGAAAGCUAGGGGAGCAAACGGGAUUAGAUACCCCGGUAGUCCUAGCUGUAAACGAUGGGCACUAGCUUGGGGUCUCCCUGUGUGAUCCCAGGUGAAGUAAAAAUGAUAAGUGCCCCGCCUGGGGAGUAUGGUCGCAAGGCUG